UCAAGGUUUAAAGUGUCCUGGCAUGGGAGCGUGCCGCUGUCUGCCUGGCAUGGUACGGCACCGGCACGCUUCCGUGCCGACGUAUGGUACGCUUGCGUGCCGAUGAAUACACAUGACCUCCUACUGACACGCUUUGGCCCGAAUUUAUUUCAAUUUUUUUGGUUCCAAUAAACUCUUAUAAUGUUAUUUUGAAAAUUUUAAUCAAAUAAUUAUGAAUAUUUGUUAUGUAUAGCUUACUAUACUCAUCAAUUAACAUAUUUGUAAACUUUUUUAUAUGUAAAGUACAACUAUAUCUGAUGCAGAAUAAAAAUUUUUACAGGUUAAAAUUUUUAAAAUGCAAAGACAUCUUUCUUUUUUUUUUUUGACAAUAUUACAGUAUUUCUUUUAUAAAAUACAAAAAAAUAAUUUUAAAAAUUAAUGUAAAAAGUAUUUGAAAAAUUAAUUUUUCAAAAAAUUAGUAGAUCUAUCAAAAAAAUUAAGCAAUAAAUUAUAUAACAAAUAAAUUAAAUAAAUUUAAGUAUCAAUUGAUUUAAUAUAGUUUUUAAUUUUAUCAGCAUUUUCAAUCUUUUAGCGCAAAAAUAAAAUUUUUUAUUUGAUGUGCCUCAAAAUUUGUUUAUUGAAUUCGAUUUUGUUCCUCUAAUUUGCCAAAAAUUUUGCGGUGCAACAAAUUUUGAUAAAAUAAUUUAUGAAGAAAAAAAGGAUGUAUGUGGCAGAAGCGGAGGGCUUGGACAAAUCUUUUGUCCGUAUAUUGAUUAAACAAAAAAAAUUAAAUUAUAAUUUUUUUGACUUACCUAAUAAGUAAAUUUUUAAUUUGCAAUAUUUUUUGGGUGUGGGGUACCCAAAAUGCUUCGGAUACUCCAAAGAACAAAACGAAAAGAAAAAAGAAAGCAAAAAAAAAAAAUAAAAUAGCAGUGCCGGCACUACAUUGUGCUGUGGCACACUGCGGCGUGCCGCUCUGUCUCGUGCGGUACAGCGUCACGUGCCGCAGCACGGAGGGAGAGUCCGAGACCCCCCCCGUAUCGUGCCCCCUUCCGCCCCAUGCCGUACGGCACGGGGCGGCACUUUAAACCCUGGUUUCAAUAUAUACCAAUUCUAUUAUAGAGGGGGCUAAAACAAGACAAUGAAGAAAGAGAUAUACCAGGUUAUAUUUAGGUGAGCGCCAAUAAAAUCCUUGUAAAAAUAUCGUAAACAGCCUGCAAGCAGCCAAAACAUACACAAUAAGCGCAUUCAUGCCCAUCCAUUGGAACAGAACAAAUGGUUUCCUGAACCCAGUGACAUCAACCUGCAUAGAUCAUAAAGCUUAACAGUGGGAUAGAACACAUUAACUGCAUUUACAAAUGAAUUACUGCAGGGCCUUGAAAAUUCUAGAACAAGCCAACCCAAUGGCGUGAGCAGAGGCAUUCUAGAGACCUUGAACAAACUAACAAAGAAUUCACAAAACUUGGCAUGACAUGAAGUUUAAUGAGUUCAAACAUAAAGCAGUCAAAAAUUGACACUUAUCGAAAUGGACUAAAUGUAAUAUUUGAUCACAGGUGAAAAAAGGAACAUUGAAUGUUCACAAGAAUACUCAAACUGCUCAACCUUAAACUUGAUCAGAAACUCUACUUCACCUCAUUGCGAUCUUUCAAAUGAGAAAUUCUGGGAAUAAAUAUAAAACUACCUAUAAAAGAGUAGUAAACCACAAUAAUUAAUUAAUAUGCAAUAUAAAAAUACUACAGGUUAUGAUUGCUUGGAUAGAUAAUUAUCUGAUAUCAUGCAUAAAUGAAAAGAAUAUCAACUAACCACAUAAUACAUCAGAGUGAGGAGAAAGCCAGAUACGCCUGCUGUAAGAAACAUGUAGCUCAUAGUGUACAAUGGCUUGCUGAAAGGCAUACCUGGAAAAAAAGAUGAAAUAAAUGUGACUAAACAAAAGAGAAGAGCAAGUAAAUUAGGAAACAACUGAGUAAAUGUGACUAAAUAUAGAGUUGACAUAAUCUUCACUAAAUUAUAUUACCUGACAACCAUACUAUGAAUCCACAAACAAGAAGUGCCAAGGAAGUUAAGGACCAUAGAAUCAUUCUCUGGCCAUUGUUCUACAGAAGAAAAAACUAAUAAUUAGCAACUGAAUCAACAAAGAGCAAAGUUUGAUGGAAGGUGCAACCAAAAUUAUAGAUUGUACCUUAAAGUGCACGAUUAUAUGCCCAAAAUGCAAGCCAACAAAGCAUGUCACUGCUGCCAUUAGAGUACUACAUGUAAAUCAAGCAAGAAAAACUAAUUAGUGUCCACUAGUCUAAAAUAUUAAGAAACCAACCAUCUUGAUGACCAAAACAAUGCAAAAUCUUGAAAAAAGCCCAAAAAGAGGGAAAACAUCCAGAAAUUUAAUUUAUCACAAUCUUAAUCCAUGUUAGCAAAUUAAUUGUUGGAAAUUCCAAUAAAAUAUUCACAAAUUUUAAACUCAAAUCGUACAUAGAAAGCCAACGACAACCUAAGACGAUAAUGUAACAUCAUCAACUGGCCCCACUAAAUCAAUCUAAAUGGUCUGGUGAAGUUUUUAUCUUAUGAUCUAGAAGCAUACAGAUCUGACAAACUUUCGUCAAUCAUCAGUACCAUUACAAAAUUUAAAAGAGAAUCUAUUACUUUAAUUUACACUUGAAAUGGUUUAUGAUAAACUUUAGAAUGUAGCUCGGCCUGCACCCCUCACAUUAUCUGCUUUUGUACAGGUAAUAAACUUUUCACAUCAACUUUUGGCAUCUAGGUGCUUUACCUCUGUAAGAUCAUCUCCAAAAAUGUUUUUUUUUAGAGGUCUUCAUUUCAAAAUUAUAAAUAAGGCCCUAGUUCAGCCAGAAGGAUAUCACUUCAAAUUCAUGCACAUGGCUACACACAUAAAAGACAUACUAUGCAGUAAAGCAAACAAGCAGAGUAAAAUUACUAACUUUCUGAUUUCAGGAUUCGUAAAAUUGACGGAAGCGAACAGAAUUCACAGAUGAGAGAGAAUCACCUUAAUAGACCCUCAGGAUCAAAUGGAGCCAAGCACCAAUUAGGUGAAUUUGGUGGGAGGGGACCAUAAUCAGGGGAGUUCACACUGCAUUCCUGUGAGAUGACAUAAUUUAUUUCCCAUUAGGAGUAAAAGACAAAGGUAAUAAGAGAAAUAAACAAUAAAUUGACAAUUCAACUAAAGAACCUUAGUCCUUUUAUAAACUGGGCGCUGGUAAAGGUGGUUUUCACCAAGAAAAAGUCGAUCUACCAAUCCAACAACAUUGCAAGGAGGUCCCAGGCUACCUCUCACUCCACAUUGGACCUGCCAAUUAUGAAAACAUUUGCGGACAAACAGUGAGUAGCCAGUAAACAAGUUCUUUCCCAUAACCGCUAUAAAUACGGGUAAAAUCAAGGGCCCGAUCAAUCAAAGGGCCCCCAUCAGUUGGAGCACCAAGUCACUCAUCUGAAACAGAUCAUGCUGUUUGGGAUGAAAUAGCAUUUUCGUACGAUUAAAGAAGAAUCUAUACUAGGUUAAUGUAUUACACAAAUGACAGGUUUCAACAGUUGCUCUUAGAAAGGCGAAAUUUUGCUUCCAAAUAUCAAGCUCCCACUGUAGCUACACCACAGAUCUUUAGCUGGAACAUGAAAAGAUAAUGCUAAAAUACAGCCGGUAAACAGUUUGCUCAACUUUAGCCAAGCCCUUUUAAGUUUGAACAAUAAGCUGAUAGAUGCUCAAAGAAGCAAAGCGACAAACAAGAUAUAGAAGUACAUGACUACUGAAAAUGGCCCUAAUUAGAUGAUCUAAGUAAAUAAAACACAGAAGGGACCAUGAAGUAUUAAGUUAGGACCAAAGGAAAAAUCUAGGGAUAUUGAAUGUGCUAUAAAGGACAAGAAAUGAAAAUCUGCAACACCAAGUAUGGUUUUUUCCCAAAUAAUGGUUGUUCAUUAAAUAUUGGAGCUUUAGAAAGCGCACCACAUGGAGUAUCAUCCUAUCAUAACAUAUAUUGGCUUGUGGCAUGCAGGAUAAUCAAUGAAUUGACAAUUGGUGCAUGCCAAACCAAAAAAAAUAGUUAAGGCAAGAAAAGAAAUAACAUCAAAAUGUGAUUGACAACUUUGUGAUGUUCAAUAAUCCAAAAGCUUGAUAGCUGAUAGCUAAUUAUAAAUUCUUAAUUCUCGGAUAAUAAAGACCUUAAACUAAAUUUACUAAUCCAAGACUCCAAGUAUUGAUGAUUCAGAUUAUUUGUGCAUAACAACCAACAUAGUGGAAACAUUAAUUUACUACGCGAUGAAAAAGAUACUUCCCAAUUCCCCAUAGAAGGAAUUAUGACUCUGUAAUGCUUAAUAUGGAUCUAAUGUGCCACAGUAUCACCUUGAAAUCAAACGACACAUGCCCUUGGUAAAUAAUCUGACCCUUACAUGGUUGGCAUGCCUCUUCCCAGCAAAGAUAUUUCAGUGAAAUUACUUACACAGGCAAGUUUACUAGUUACAGAAUACAACUUCACUUAAGAACCAAUCACUAGAUAGUAAGAGUCAGUUAUGAACUUACUGUUUCAAUGCUGAUCUGAUAAUUUGGGCUUGAAGAGGUAGAAUUUCUGCUUGAAAGUUCAAACUCCCAGCUAGGAACAUAGAGACCAAAAAGCAAGCCAACAUAUAGUGCAGAAAGUAGUAUGGUGGCGAUCCUUCAGGUGAAUAGCAGAUAUUAGAUUAAAUCCAGUUACUUCAACAUCAAAAACAGUGGAUACAUGAAUCUACUUUACACAUGAUGCAGAGGAAUCAUUUACUAAGCACGAAAUGGAAGGGAUAUAUUGCAAGGUAUCUUUUGGUCAGGCAAACUUGGGUUUGAAAUGGACACUAGAAUGAUUCAGUCCCAUUUUGACCUUUUGGUUAGAGGAGUCGUUUUCCCAUUACCAUUCCUUGGUGGAACAGGCCUCAUAUCUUCAAUCCAGCUAAGGAGAGGGGAGUGAAGUCUCAAUUCAAAGUAAAAUAUGAAUCACUAAUUCCAAUUACUAUUCCAGUUGACCAAAUGCACAAAUGGAACCGGUCAUUAUCAUUCAGAUUCCUUUUCUGAUUCUGUUUCCAAUCGUGAACCAAACAUACUCUAAAUGCUGUUAAAACUUUGCAGUACAAACCAUUGAAACUUGAGAGUUGUCAAUAUGACUGACCAUUCAGUGUAGUAUUUCCUCACAAAUGAUGCAGGAGAAUCCACUGUGAUGUCACUGAUGAGCCAAAUCUCUGACAUUGCUGCUAAAAAAUAUCCAAUGGAUAUCCUCUAAGAUAUGUAAAAGCACAAUCAGAUGACAAGAAAUUACUAAAUAAACAACACGAGAAACAACAAUAGUUCCAAUUUCCAGAUGCUAUUUGAACGCUAAAGACAACUUUGAAGAAUAGCAGUCCUAAAAGGAACAAAUUCAGCUUUUCAAACUUCAAAUAUAAAGUGCGCAUUGUAUUUUAAAGAAUAUUUUCUCACAAUGGGCUUUGUCCAGCAAAGAAAACCAUCAGAUAAAUAGACCUACAACUAAGACAAAAUGCAUCACCGAAUCAAAAUAUAAGCACCACGCAUGGCAUCUCACAAGUGUGAGCAAUUUUCAGCUAAAAGAACUAGCAUACAAUGUUCUUUUGAUCAUUAUUUUUCAUGAAAGCACUGCAAGUGGAGGUCAAGAUACAACAAAAACAACAACUUAUAGACAACAACUAUAGGUCACUGGAAUUAUUUUAUAAAUGCGAAUCUAAAAAAGAAGUUCACAUCAUAUAACAAAAAUAUGAUAAGAGUCAUUAGAAUCACAAAAUCAUUAAAUUAGAUCCACAUAACCUGUAAUACACCUAGCCACCGAAUACGGUCUAAAUCGACCCCGUAGGUUAAGUUAUUACGGCCAUGAAAGUAUCCACCUGCAACCAACCAAUAGUAACGACAGAAUCAAGAUUCCAACAAGGUUGUGAAUGAAAAAAAUCUUCGUAUAUAUACAUAUGCAGAAAAGUCGAGCAAAACUAAUAUAGCCAACAAAAUUAAGAUGGAUUCUAUUCUACAUGUAAUUCAUUAAAAUUUUUAAAAAAUGUAAGAAACUCCAACAGAACCUUGCAAAAUUACACCCAAGACAAAGAGCUUAAUUGUCCUCAUUAUGACCUUUUUCGUAGCGGCUGCUUUAUUUGAAGAUUUCUGCAAAGCAUCACCCAACAAAAUGAAGAGUUAACCUACUUAAUUACCAAAGAGAUUUUACAAGUAGUAGAUGAAAAUAACUCUCAGGCUAACUCCGAAAGAGUCGAAACACGAAGGAAUCCACUUGCAGCUCCAAAUAAGAAAGAAAUCAACAUCCCUAAGCCUCAAAAAGAUUGACUAUAGCCGAUAUGUCCCUAACAGAUAUAGGAGAAAGUACAAAUCUUGUGAAUUCAACUGAUUUGGUAAUUCAAAUUGCAAGGAAUUAUAGUAAAAAAAAAGUAUCUUUAUCAUCCUAAUGCUCUAGCUAUGAACUGCCACGUGAUAACGGCGAUAAAUGUGACAACAAAAAGAUAGACAAAAAUGAUUAGUAUUAUACCAAGACAAAUUUGAAAUCUAUAACCUACAACAAGCAGAAAAAUCAAACUUUUACACUAAAUAGUGAAAUGAAGGACUAGCGAGUAAAGUGAAAAAACAAUAAAACCCCAGAAAAAGCAAGAAACGAUCAAUUUCAAAUAUGACCUAGGGCUAAAAGGACCCUAUUUGAUACCUUAAACACAAGCGCGACCGACACGCCGAUGAUGAAGAGAAAGAAGGGCAUCACGAAGUCGGCGAGCGUGACGCCGAACCACGGCGCGUGGUUAAUCGCCGGGAACGCUCCCCCGGCGUCGUCCACCAGGAUCAUCAGCUGCGAAAUCUCGUCAGGGUUAGAGAUCAACGGGGAUUCCGAAUCCUAGGAACAGCAAUUCGUUGGGGAGGAAGGGUUUACCGCGACGGUGAGGCCACGGAAAACGUCGAGGGAGGCGAGGCGCGGGGACGGGGCGGAUUCGGCGGCGGAGGAGGGGGGCUUCAGCGGAGGAGGAGGAGGCGGAGGGGAGAGGAGGGGAUCGGAGAGUGGCCGCCAUGGAUGGAUCUCGUCGAGCUCCGGUAAAGGAGGAAGAGGAGGAGGAGAGGGAGGAGGAGGAGAGGGGGGAGGAGGGGGAGAGGAGAGGAGAGGAGAGCGAUUUUCUUCGUCUUCGUCGUCGUCUUCUUCUUCUUCUACGUGACGGACGCGGACGACGUCGGAGUCCAUUUUUUGGGUUUAUGCGGGCGGAGAGGGAGGACGGAGGAGAUGGAGAGAGAGAGACGGAGAGAGAGAGUUUGAGGAAGAGCGGACGGGGAUGAGUUGACUCCCGACAGUUCGCGCGGGGUUGUGUUCGUGCGGAAGGAAAGGCUGACAGCUGCUGUGUCUCAACUCUCACAUAUAAAAUUCAUAUAAAUAGUUUAUUAAGACAUACCUAAUAAUUUUUUGUACUUUCAUGUUUACUUGCACCUUUUUCUCUUUAUUUUUCUGUGCCCCUCUCUUUUCUAUCCUAGAUCUAUUUAUCUCUCUCUUCUCCCUAGGUCUCUCUCUCUCUCUCUUCUCCUCUAUCUCUCUCUUCUCCCCUUUCUCUGCCGCUCUCUCCUCUCUGUACCUCUGUUCCAACGCCUCUCUCUCUCCUAUGCCCUUUCUCUCUCAAACCUCUAAUGCCUCGCUAAUGAGUGCCCUAUCCUCCUACCUCGAGGCCUCUCUCGAUCGCUCCUUCGUUCGAUUCGCUCGCAGAUGGAAUGAGUCCAUCUAUUGGGCGGUUGCCGUUCCUCUCGAUCGCUCCGUCGGGCGAUUCGGUCGCGGGUGGCCUCGCUGAUGAGUGCCCUAUCCUCCUACCUCGAGCCUUUCUGGAUCGCUCCUUCGCUCGAUUCGCUCGCAGAUGGGAUGAACCCGUCCAUUAAUUGGGCGGUUGCCGUUUCUCUCGAUCGCUCCGUCGGGCGAUUCGGCCGCGGGUGGGAUAAGCCCGCCUAUUGGACGGUUCUUCCUGAGCCUAAAUCUACCCUACUUCGAUGGUUUUUGCUGGUUCUUUACAGAUCUUAUAAGAUUUUUUAUAGGUUGUUUAUAGAUCUGGUGAGAUUUUUUUUCUCUAUCUCUAUCUAUAUUUAUUAUUUUCCCUCUCUUGAUAUAUGGAUUGAUCUGGUGACCGUUUCAAAAAAUUUGUACUCAUUAUUUUUGAUUUUUUCUUUAUGUAUGGAUUUUCGAUUUUUUUCUUUCUAUGUGGAUUGUUUUUUAUACGUUGAUAAUUCAAAAAAAAAAAAACUUCUUUCUUCUCCAAUUUGUUUUACUAUGUGACUCUUAUAUCAUGGGUUAAACCUAGCCUACUGCUAGGGUUUUUACAGAUUUUUAUUCAUUGUUUUCUAGAUAUUUUUCCCUCUCUUGAUAUAUGGAUGGAUAUGGUGACAGUUUCAAAAGAUUUGUAUUCAAUUGUUUUCGAUUUUUGCAAUCUGUGUUGAUUUUUUUUUAAAAAAAUACUUCUUUGUUCAUCAAUUUGUUUUACUAUGUGACUCUUAUAUGUUGCCCUAAACCUAGCCUACUGCUAUGGUUUUUGCAGGUUUUUACAGAUCUCUACUCAUUUCCCGAUUUUUAUAUAAAAUAAAAUAUCAAUAAUAUAUAAUAUAAACCUGCCCCUAUACAAAUAGGCACUCUGG
This 8602-nucleotide long non-coding RNA is filed under the name Ananas comosus (pineapple). RNAcentral describes it as "long non-coding RNA (ACOM_LNC032459)". The record is from RNAcentral. Lineage: Eukaryota; Viridiplantae; Streptophyta; Magnoliopsida; Poales; Bromeliaceae.